RNAcentral lists this long non-coding RNA (201 nucleotides) under Rattus norvegicus (Norway rat). RNAcentral describes it as "long non-coding RNA NONRATT032169". Lineage: Eukaryota; Metazoa; Chordata; Mammalia; Rodentia; Muridae. The record is from RNAcentral.
GAUAACCUGGGUCGGCAAAGGUGAUGAUCCUGGUGAUGACAUAUCUUCGCUGAGGUGGAAAUGAUCUCACAAGUACAGACAGGACUCUCCCAGCUAGAAAGAGGAGGAGAGCAGAAAACACAGACUUGGGAACGGCUUGAAAGCGCUGGAGGAGGAGGCAGCUCAUGAGCCCAGCUCUGGCUUCAGCAGGGGAAGCUAAAG